CCUACGGGAGGCAGCAGUGGGGAAUAUUGGGCAAUGGAGGAAACUCUGACCCAGCAACGCCGCGUGAAUGAUGAAGGUCUUCGGAUUGGAAAGUUCUUUUCUAAGGGAAGAAGAAAGUGACGGUACCUUAGGAAUAAGCCUCGGCUAACUACGGGCCAGCAGCCGCGGUAAUACGUAGGAGGCAAGCGUUAUCCGGAAUGACUGGGCGUAAAGGGUGCGUAGGUGGUUUGACAAGUUGGUAGCGUAACUCCGAGGCUUAACCUCGGCACUACUACCAAAACUGUUGGACUCGAGUGCAGGAGGGGCAAAUGGAAUUCCUAGUGUAGCGGUGGAAUGCGUAGAUAUUAGGAGGAACACCAGUGGCGAAGGCGAUUUGCUGGACUGUAACUGACACUGAGGCACGAAAGCGUGGGGAGCAAACAGGAUUAGAUACCCCAGUAGUC
RNAcentral lists this ribosomal RNA (443 nucleotides) under uncultured bacterium. Its description in RNAcentral is "partial 16S ribosomal RNA". It matches the Rfam family "Bacterial small subunit ribosomal RNA", at positions 338 to 795 of the family's 1533-position model. The record is from RNAcentral.